GACAGAGGUGGCAAGCGUUGUUCGGAUUUAUUGGGUGUAAAGGGUCCGUAGGCGGUUCGACAAGUCUGACGUGAAAUCCCAUGGCUCAACCAUGGAACUGCGUUGGAAACUGUCGGACUUGAGUACCGAAGAGGUAAAGGGAAUUCCCGGUGUAAGGGUGAAAUCUGUAGAUAUCGGGAGGAACACCAGUGGCGAAGGCGCUUUACUGGUCGGUUACUGACGCUGAGGGACGAAAGCAAGGGGAGCAAACAGG
RNAcentral lists this ribosomal RNA (253 nucleotides) under uncultured bacterium. RNAcentral describes it as "partial 16S ribosomal RNA". It matches the Rfam family "Bacterial small subunit ribosomal RNA", at positions 524 to 776 of the family's 1533-position model. The record is from RNAcentral.